This 253-nucleotide ribosomal RNA is filed under the name uncultured Actinomycetales bacterium. Its description in RNAcentral is "partial 16S ribosomal RNA". It matches the Rfam family "Bacterial small subunit ribosomal RNA", at positions 77 to 334 of the family's 1533-position model. The record is from RNAcentral. Lineage: Bacteria; Bacillati; Actinomycetota; Actinomycetes; Actinomycetales.
UUUUCGGAGGUACUCGAGUGGCGAACGGGUGAGUAACACGUGGGUGGUCUGCCCUGCACUCUGGGAUAAGCCUGGGAAACUGGGUCUAAUACCGGAUAGGACCGCACUUUAGUGUGUGUGGUGGAAAGUUUUUUCGGUGUAGGAUGAGCCCGCGGCCUAUCAGCUUGUUGGUGGGGUAAUGGCCUACCAAGGCGGCGACGGGUAGCCGGACUGAGAGGUUGGUCGGCCACAUUGGGACUGAGAUACGGCCCAG